GUCGAGCGGAUGAAGAGAGCUUGCUCUCUGAUUCAGCGGCGGACGGGUGAGUAAUGCCUAGGAAUCUGCCUGGUAGUGGGGGACAACGUUUCGAAAGGAACGCUAAUACCGCAUACGUCCUACGGGAGAAAGCAGGGGACCUUCGGGCCUUGCGCUAUCAGAUGAGCCUAGGUCGGAUUAGCUAGUUGGUGAGGUAAUGGCUCACCAAGGCGACGAUCCGUAACUGGUCUGAGAGGAUGAUCAGUCACACUGGAACUGAGACACGGUCCAGACUCCUACGGGAGGCAGCAGUGGGGAAUAUUGGACAAUGGGCGAAAGCCUGAUCCAGCCAUGCCGCGUGUGUGAAGAAGGUCUUCGGAUUGUAAAGCACUUUAAGUUGGGAGGAAGGGUUGUAGAUUAAUACUCUGCAAUUUUGACGUUACCGACAGAAUAAGCACCGGCUAACUCUGUGCCAGCAGCCGCGGUAAUACAGAGGGUGCAAGCGUU
Molecule: ribosomal RNA, 486 nt
Filed under: Pseudomonas koreensis
Lineage: Bacteria; Pseudomonadati; Pseudomonadota; Gammaproteobacteria; Pseudomonadales; Pseudomonadaceae
Description: bacterial SSU rRNA
Rfam family: Bacterial small subunit ribosomal RNA
Source: RNAcentral